This 253-nucleotide ribosomal RNA is filed under the name uncultured bacterium. RNAcentral describes it as "partial 16S ribosomal RNA". It matches the Rfam family "Bacterial small subunit ribosomal RNA", at positions 524 to 776 of the family's 1533-position model. The record is from RNAcentral.
UACGAAGGGGGCUAGCGUUGUUCGGAAUUACUGGGCGUAAAGCGCACGUAGGCGGAUUUGUAAGUCAGGGGUGAAGUCCCGGGGCUCAACCUCGGAACUGCCUUUGAUACUGCAAGUCUUGAGUCCGGAAGAGGUGAGUGGAAUUCCUAGUGUAGAGGUGAAAUUCGUAGAUAUUAGGAAGAACACCAGUGGCGAAGGCGGCUCACUGGUCCGGUACUGACGCUGAGGUGCGAAAGCGUGGGGAGCAAACAGG